UGCACUGGUGUAUCAUGAUUUUAUGAAGAUGGCUGCCAGUCACAUGGAGGGAACCGGAAUUGCUUUUCUUGAGUUUUCUAAGGCUUACGAAGAUGAGUAUAUAGGCUGUUAUAAAGUUGGGAAAAGGACAAUUUCUGAAGAUUGCCAUUUCAGUGGUCAUUUUUGCGUGAAACAAAUUAUACAAGCAAUAGGCAUGAUAAUUUUGUGGAUGGUGUCACUGUGGUUGCCGCCAUGUUUUGUAGUUCGAUUUGCUCAAUUGAAGGGUUCUGUACUCAUUUUGAUAACUGAGCUGUGUGUGGCAUGAUUACCUCUUACUUAUAAUGAACAGUAAUGUAUUGAUAUUAUUUUGAAAGGAAAGCCCCCUGAGCUAACUGCACAAGAUUUUUGACUGGAAAUAUGUCCAUCAGAAAUGACAAGUUUUGUUUAUCCUGUACCGUGGCGGCCCUGUUCACUCGAACUGGGAAGUCUUGGUUUCUCUGUGAGGACACGCAUCAUUUUACUUGAUGUGUGCGGGUGGACAUGCUGUUUGGAGGAAUGUGGGUGUUCUUUAAAGCCAGCCCUGCAUCACUGUGAAGGUCAGGCUGGCUAUGUCGUAAAAUGUCAUGCUAGAUGAAUUAUUCUCUCAUGAGUUAGGCUACUAUGUAUGAUGGAACUAAUUGGCGACAGCUAAUAAAACAAGUGAUGAAGUUGUGGCUUGAAUGAGUAUAGAGCCAAA
Molecule: RNA transcript, 715 nt
Organism: Amphimedon queenslandica
Lineage: Eukaryota; Metazoa; Porifera; Demospongiae; Haplosclerida; Niphatidae
Exons: 6
Source: RefSeq, a predicted model, not a curated record